RNAcentral lists this ribosomal RNA (791 nucleotides) under Bacillus subtilis. RNAcentral describes it as "bacterial SSU rRNA". It matches the Rfam family "Bacterial small subunit ribosomal RNA", at positions 1 to 766 of the family's 1533-position model. The record is from RNAcentral. Lineage: Bacteria; Bacillati; Bacillota; Bacilli; Caryophanales; Bacillaceae.
GGGAGGGGGGUUUUAUAGGUUUUUGAAACAGCUCAGGACGAACGCUGGCGGCGUGCCUAAUACAUGCAAGUCGAGCGGACAGAUGGGAGCUUGCUCCCUGAUGUUAGCGGCGGACGGGUGAGUAACACGUGGGUAACCUGCCUGUAAGACUGGGAUAACUCCGGGAAACCGGGGCUAAUACCGGAUGGUUGUUUGAACCGCAUGGUUCAAACAUAAAAGGUGGCUUCGGCUACCACUUACAGAUGGACCCGCGGCGCAUUAGCUAGUUGGUGAGGUAACGGCUCACCAAGGCGACGAUGCGUAGCCGACCUGAGAGGGUGAUCGGCCACACUGGGACUGAGACACGGCCCAGACUCCUACGGGAGGCAGCAGUAGGGAAUCUUCCGCAAUGGACGAAAGUCUGACGGAGCAACGCCGCGUGAGUGAUGAAGGUUUUCGGAUCGUAAAGCUCUGUUGUUAGGGAAGAACAAGUACCGUUCGAAUAGGGCGGUACCUUGACGGUACCUAACCAGAAAGCCACGGCUAACUACGUGCCAGCAGCCGCGGUAAUACGUAGGUGGCAAGCGUUGUCCGGAAUUAUUGGGCGUAAAGGGCUCGCAGGCGGUUUCUUAAGUCUGAUGUGAAAGCCCCCGGCUCAACCGGGGAGGGUCAUUGGAAACUGGGGAACUUGAGUGCAGAAGAGGAGAGUGGAAUUCCACGUGUAGCGGUGAAAUGCGUAGAGAUGUGGAGGAACACCAGUGGCGAAGGCGACUCUCUGGUCUGUAACUGACGCUGAGAGCGAAAAGAAGCCC